UCACCGGGAGCAUUGUUUGAUC
RNAcentral lists this microRNA (22 nucleotides) under Pristionchus pacificus. RNAcentral describes it as "ppc-miR-2235b-3p". Lineage: Eukaryota; Metazoa; Nematoda; Chromadorea; Rhabditida; Neodiplogasteridae. The record is from miRBase by way of RNAcentral.